RNAcentral lists this ribosomal RNA (918 nucleotides) under uncultured bacterium. RNAcentral's name for it is "bacterial SSU rRNA". It matches the Rfam family "Bacterial small subunit ribosomal RNA", at positions 53 to 966 of the family's 1533-position model. The record is from RNAcentral.
ACAUGCAGUCGACGGUAACAGGAGAAAGCUUGCUUUCUUGCUGACGAGUGGCGGACGGGUGAGUAAUGCUUGGGAAUCUGGCUUAUGGAGGGGGAUAACGACGGGAAACUGUCGCUAAUACCGCGUAGAGUCGAGAGACGAAAGUGCGGGACCGCAAGGCCGCAUGCCAUGAGAUGAGCCCAAGUGGGAUUAGGUAGUUGGUGGGGUAAAGGCCUACCAAGCCGACGAUCUCUAGCUGGUCUGAGAGGAUGACCAGCCACACCGGGACUGAGACACGGCCCGGACUCCUACGGGAGGCAGCAGUGGGGAAUAUUGCGCAAUGGGGGCAACCCUGACGCAGCCAUGCCGCGUGAAUGAAGAAGGCCUUCGGGUUGUAAAGUUCUUUCGGUGACGAGGAAGGUUGUUGUGUUAAUAGCGCGACAAAUUGACGUUAAUCACAGAAGAAGCACCGGCUAACUCCGUGCCAGCAGCCGCGGUAAUACGGAGGGUGCGAGCGUUAAUCGGAAUAACUGGGCGUAAAGGGCACGCAGGCGGCUAUUUAAGUGAGGUGUGAAAUCCCCGGGCUUAACCUGGGAAUUGCAUUUCAGACUGGGUAGCUAGAGUACUUUAGGGAGGGGUAGAAUUCCACGUGUAGCGGUGAAAUGCGUAGAGAUGUGGAGGAAUACCGAAGGCGAAGGCAGCCCCUUGGGAAUGUACUGACGCUCAUGUGCGAAAGCGUGGGGAGCAAACAGGAUUAGAUACCCUGGUAGUCCACGCUGUAAACGCUGUCGAUUUGGGGAUUGGGCUUUAAGCUUGGUGCCCGUAGCUAACGUGAUAAAUCGACCGCCUGGGGAGUACGGCCGCAAGGUUAAAACUCAAAUGAAUUGACGGGGCCCGCACAAGCGGUGGAGCAUGUGGUUUAAUUCGAUGCACGCGAGA